AGACGUCUACAUUAGAUACCCCCGUAGUCCCAGCCGUAAACUAUGCGCGUUAGGUGUAUCGGUGACCACGAGUUACCGAGGUGCCGAAGGGAAACCGUGAAACGUGCCGCCUGGGAAGUACGGUCGCAAGGCUGAAACUUAAAGGAAUUGGCGGGGAGCACCACAACGGGUGGAGCCUGCGGUUUAAUUGGACUCAACGCCGGGAAGCUCACCGGAUAGGACAGCAGAAUGAUUGCCGGGCUGAAGACCCUGCAUGACUAGCUG
Molecule: ribosomal RNA, 264 nt
Filed under: uncultured archaeon
Lineage: Archaea
Description: partial 16S ribosomal RNA
Rfam family: Archaeal small subunit ribosomal RNA
Source: RNAcentral